This 484-nucleotide ribosomal RNA is filed under the name uncultured bacterium. Its description in RNAcentral is "partial 16S ribosomal RNA". It matches the Rfam family "Bacterial small subunit ribosomal RNA", at positions 30 to 507 of the family's 1533-position model. The record is from RNAcentral.
AUUGAACGCUGGCGGCAGGCCUAACACAUGCAAGUCGAGCGGAUGAAGGGAGCUUGCUCCUGUAUUCAGCGGCGGACGGGUGAGUAAUGCCUAGGAAUCUGCCUUAUCUUUGGGGCUAACGUCCGGACACGGGCGCUUAUCUCGCAUCCGUCCAGAGUUUGAACGUGGGGGAUCUUCGGACCUCGCCCUUCCUGCUGAGCCUAGGUCGGAUUAGCUAGUUGGUUGGGUAAGGGCCUACCAAGGCGACGAUCCGUAACUGGUCUGAGAGGAUGAUCUGUCACACUGGAACUGAGACACGGUCCAGACUCCUACGGGAGGCAGCAGUGGGGAAUAUUGGACAAUGGGCGAAAGCCUGAUCCAGCCAUGCCGCGUGUGUGAAGAAGGUCUUCGGAUUGUAAAGCACUUUAAGUAGGGAGGAAGGGCAGUAAGUUAAUACCUGGACGUUUUGACGGUACCAACAGAGAAAGCACCGGCUAACUUCGUG